GAUGAACGCUGGCGGCGUGCCUAAUACAUGCAAGUCGAGCGAACAGACGAGGAGCUUGCUCCUCUGACGUUAGCGGCGGACGGGUGAGUAACACGUGGAUAACCUACCUAUAAGACUGGGAUAACUUCGGGAAACCGGAGCUAAUACCGGAUAAUAUAUUGAACCGCAUGGUUCAAUAGUGAAAGACGGUUUUGCUGUCACUUAUAGAUGGAUCCGCGCCGCAUUAGCUAGUUGGUAAGGUAACGGCUUACCAAGGCAACGAUGCGUAGCCGACCUGAGAGGGUGAUCGGCCACACUGGAACUGAGACAGGGUCCAGACUACUACGGGAGGCAGCAGAAGGGAAUGUUCCGCAAUGGGCGAAAGCCUGACGGAGCAACGCCGCGUGAGUGAUGAAGGUCUUCGGAUCGUAAAACUCUGUUAUUAGGGAAGAACAAAUGUGUAAGUAACUAUGCACGUCUUGACGGUACCUAAUCAGAAAGCCACGGCUAACUACGUG
This 497-nucleotide ribosomal RNA is filed under the name uncultured bacterium. Its description in RNAcentral is "partial 16S ribosomal RNA". It matches the Rfam family "Bacterial small subunit ribosomal RNA", at positions 28 to 507 of the family's 1533-position model. The record is from RNAcentral.